This 72-nucleotide transfer RNA is filed under the name Notorynchus cepedianus (broadnose sevengill shark). Its description in RNAcentral is "tRNA-Val". It matches the Rfam family "tRNA". From Rfam's summary of the family: Transfer RNA (tRNA) molecules are approximately 80 nucleotides in length. Their secondary structure includes four short double-helical elements and three loops (D, anti-codon, and T loops). Further hydrogen bonds mediate the characteristic L-shaped molecular structure. tRNAs have two regions of fundamental functional importance: the anti-codon, which is responsible for specific mRNA codon recognition, and the 3' end, to which the tRNAs corresponding amino acid is attached (by aminoacyl-tRNA synthetases). tRNAs cope with the degeneracy of the genetic code in two manners: having more than one tRNA (with a specific anti-codon) for a particular amino acid; and 'wobble' base-pairing, i.e. permitting non-standard base-pairing at the 3rd anti-codon position. The record is from RNAcentral. Lineage: Eukaryota; Metazoa; Chordata; Chondrichthyes; Hexanchiformes; Hexanchidae.
AAGUGUAGCUAAAUUAGUACAGCAUCUCCCUUACACCGAGAAGUAACCCGUGCAAUUCGGGUCACCUUGAAC